Non-coding RNA from Python bivittatus (Burmese python), 123 nucleotides. The record is from RefSeq and is a predicted model, not a curated record. Lineage: Eukaryota; Metazoa; Chordata; Lepidosauria; Squamata; Pythonidae.
CUGAAAAAUCUUCAGUUACUGAAGAAAAUGAGAUACAAGCAGAAGAUGAGGCUGAGGCCAAGGCUGAGGCUACUGAAGAACAGAAAGAAGAUAAAGAACAGCCAGCAACAGAAGAAGUAAAAG